CCUACGGGUGGCAGCAGUGGGGGAUAUUGCACAAUGGGGGAAACCCUGAUGCAGCGACGCCGCGUGUGGGCAGACGGUCCUCUGGAUUGCAAACCACUGUCCCCAGGGACGAAGAGGACGGUACCUGGGGAGGAAGCUCCGGCUAACUACGAGCCAGCAGCCGCGGUAAGACGUAGGGAGCGAGCGUUGUCAGGAAGUACUGGGUGUAAAGGGAGGGUAGGCGUGGAUGCAAGUUGUGUGUAAAAACUACCGGCUCAACUGGUAGUCGCACUCAAAACUGCAGCUCUAGAGUGAAGUAGAGGCAGGCGGAAGUACUAGUGUAGCGGUAAAAUGCGUAGAUAUUAGGAGGAACACCAGUGGCGAAGGCGGCCUGCUGGGCUUUUACGGACGCUGAGGCUCGAAAGUGUGGGGAGCAAACAGGAGUAGAUACCCGAGUAGUC
This 440-nucleotide ribosomal RNA is filed under the name uncultured bacterium. RNAcentral's name for it is "partial 16S ribosomal RNA". It matches the Rfam family "Bacterial small subunit ribosomal RNA", at positions 338 to 795 of the family's 1533-position model. The record is from RNAcentral.